UUCGGAGUACCCGCGGUCAGACGGAAAGACCCCGUGCACCUUUACUACAGCUUUGCAGUGGCAUCAGAAGAUGAAUGUGUAGGAUAGGCGGGAGGCUUUGAAGCACCGGCGCCAGUUGGUGUGGAGCCAUCCUUGAAAUACCGCCCUUUGAUCUUUUGAUGUCUAACCGCGGACCGUCAUCCGGUUCCGGGACCCUGCAUGGCGGGUAGUUUGACUGGGGCGGUCGCCUCCCAAAGAGUAACGGAGGCGCGCGAUGGUGGG
This 261-nucleotide ribosomal RNA is filed under the name Alexandrium margalefii. RNAcentral's name for it is "partial Bacterial large subunit ribosomal RNA". It matches the Rfam family "Bacterial large subunit ribosomal RNA", at positions 2060 to 2320 of the family's 2925-position model. Lineage: Eukaryota; Dinophyceae; Gonyaulacales; Pyrocystaceae. The record is from RNAcentral.